Tigriopus californicus is the source of this 4074-nucleotide long non-coding RNA. RefSeq lists it as uncharacterized. NCBI's taxonomy places the organism in Eukaryota, Metazoa, Arthropoda, Copepoda, Harpacticoida, Harpacticidae. The record is from RefSeq and is a predicted model, not a curated record. The transcript is spliced from 3 exons.
CACUUGGUGGGUGCAUCGAGAAUUAGUGUGGUACGAAAAUAGAGCUACGCACGCCGCCGGGGCUGAUAUGGCUGAUUUGGCUGAUAUGGCUAGGAGUCUACCUGUGACGUACGCAAAUUGAAAACGAAAAGCGUCUGCCAAUGGCGGGGGGAGCUUCCUCAUUUGGUAAGGCCGUAUGUUUUUGGCUUGAAAUGAAAAACUGCUCCUCCAACGGGGGACGAGACGCCCUCGCCCAGGCUUGGUGCCAUCAACAGGGACUGAGUAAGGGGCUAAGAGACGGAGGGGAGGAGCUUCAAGAGCGAGCUGAAGAAAACUGCUCACCACAGGUUUUCGUGAAUGAAAGUUCAACUCAGAAGAGAGAAGAUUGGGCACGGCAGGACAAAAAACCUGGGAAACCGAAUUUCUUCAGGACAAGAAUAAGAAGAAUGUCCAAAUAUUUGGACCGGGGCCAAAUCAGAACCCUAGCUGCAAUGCCCCGAUCUGUGACGGGGGAAUUGUAAUAGGUUGGUUAGAUUGUGGACGGGAACAGAGAUCGCGGAGAUUGGUCCGGACCCAUUGGACAGUCUCCAAGGCAGUUGGCAAAGUUGAACUUACCCCGUAUAUUGGUUCUCUAUUCAUGUUGGCGUUUCCUAGUGUUGGGGUGUCACCGUCUCAGUCUCAAAAUCUGGAGAUUCAUCCCACAAUUUCGAUCCCAGAUCAAGGGAUGGAUGGAUGUAUUGGUUGUCAAAUGCGGAAACACGACGGGGGCACGAACGAAACACCAGAUUCAGAUCAGAGGAAAGGGAGUGAUGAUGCUGCCGCACUCGACGCACUAAUUCAUAUUCCUGUGGAUACGACAGGAGCAGUUCGGGAUCAUGGGCCUCUUCUCGCACUUCGUUGUGAGUCUUCUCGAUGUGGAGGAAGGCAGUCGCUAUCUUAUGUCGUCGUUGGCACCACUACUGCCAUCACCACCAUCACCCCUACCACUGCUACUGCCACUGCUUCUGAUCUAGCUCUCGUUCUUCAAGGUCGAUUUCCACGAUUCGUUUAAUGAGUCAACGGGAAAAAUCCGGGCGAGUUGUAGCCGUCUCGGAAAAGGCCUCUUGGAAACCAACACCAGUCACUUCACGUGGCCUUUCUUUCCGUGGUCCACUGUACAUACAGUGUACACAAACAUGCACCUUCACCCACACGGCGUCAAAGUCUCUGAAUCGAAAUCACUUCAGAGAGCAAAUCUGGCGAAGGUUGGAGACGUUGUGGUUACGACCAUCGCCCGCCCUCUCAACUAUCCUGGCAAACCUACCAAUCGAUUGAACCCUCCUCCAUCUCCUCCACCACCACCACCACCGCUAUCCACACGACGAGCGGGUCCCACCUCAUAUGCAGUGGUGGCAUGUACUGUCUCAAACUCAUUCAUGUCUUAAGGGCUGACAAGCUCUUUCGAUUCCUUCUUUUUAGCGUAAGUAGUACCUAGCACGGAAAGGUACUCUUGCCAUCUUGACAGCGGCCGGUUUCAGGCAAAACCGGCCAAGCUCCAUCUAUCCAACCAUCCGUCCACCCCACCUUCUCCUCCUUCUUCUCCUCUUCCGAACUCAGGCUUGGAAGUUCCUCGUGCACUUUCGUCCUGGUGCAGGAGCUCCCUUCACUCCACUCCAUUCCCCCUUGGUUGGUUGGUUGGUUGGUUGGUUUGUUGGUUCGUGGAUUCUUUUCCAAAGCUCUUCCGCGCCCUUCCCAAGAAUCCUUUGGCCCCGCCACUCUCGUCGUUCUCUUGCUCUUUCUUUCCAUUGUUGGUCCUCAUGUUCACUGCUUGGUUGAAUCCUUGUUUCUGUUCUCCUUCCUGAUCAACUGUACCGAGUCCGGUGCUCACAUACGUUAAGGAGUGUAUGUAGAAGUAGUGGUACAUUCGUAGUUACAUGACGUGAGGCUAUGUGCCAAGAAGCAAGAUCUAUCCAUGGUGCGAGUUGGUUGAAGACACGCCAUUCCAGGCUAACUUUUGAACAUGCACGGUGCGCACGUACACUAGAUAGACAGAAAACGAGAGAUCUGAUGAAAGAGUCGAGAAGGGCUAAAACCGAUUUGACUGCAGAGGUUGGAGCCCAAUUGCCGGGAGAGUAGAGGUAGAGGUAAAGGGCGACACCCUUCUCCCUCUCCCUUGAUUGCAGCCCAGUUCUGCGGAUGUCAGAGCUUGGAUGUACAAGAAGUGCCAAGAGAUUGCCUACCACACCGUCCAUGUACGUUCAUUGGACAAACCAGCAGGCUGAAACAUCAUGGGAGCGGUGUUUUAGAGCGAAUUCUCUCAGCUUCCUCCACUAAUCCAAAUGGCAGAGCAUAUUAACUUAAUCUCCGAAGACGACGACGACGACGACGACGACGUCUGUGAUCACCUGCAAGUUGCUCCAGUCAGCCAUGUACAUGAAGGAAUGGAAGAUGAAGUAAAACUAUCUGCGGCCAGUAGCCAACCCACCAACCCACAUAUCCACCUAUCGACCCAACAUCCCUCCAACCCACCGAACCACGAAUCAACCACCGUUAUGGAAUUUGUUCGUCGUCCGUCCUGAUACUAUUUCUCCUCUUCCGCAAUCUUUUACUCAUUCGUCUUCACCAGAAUUAUGAACGCAUUUCUUUGUGAACUCGAAGGACUUGGGCCUCAGCUUCCAUUUUUCCAUGAAAGCCCAAUGCUCGAUCUGGGAAGGUAUGAAUAUGGCGAUGGGCAUGUCAAACACAUCUUGGAGAAGAACUUUACCAUUUGCCUCGCCUUUGAUCGCAAAGAUUGAUAAUCUAAUCAGUAAAAACACGUGAUCCCCAAAACCAGACCGGUUAUUUUGCAUUCAGGAACGUCAGGAGUUCAAAGCUAUCAUGUGGUGCUUCAUCUUGAUCAAACUCAUAUUGAGCCAUACCUUGUGGAGUUGGACUUCGAUUUUGAAUUCUAGAAUCCAAUUCUAUUUACGCCGUAAGAUCUUUGUAGUAUUCAGUUUCUUGAAAGUUUUCUCCCCAUGUCUAUCUCAACCUCGGCACAAUGGAAUGAGAAUCUCAUUGUUAAAUGCCUUCAAAUUCUCAGCUGUAAAUCUCUGACGAGGUAGAUUGCUUCUCGUUAGAGGUCAUUUAUUCGAUUGCCAAGAUCAUUGCAAGAACGAGGAGUGGUUCACAAACUGUUCAGAUCAUGAGGGUGCAGAAAUUGCGUAAAGCGGUUUUCAUACGCUUCCAAGGGGACUUUUUGGCAAAUUGGAGAUCCGAAGAUGAAUGUAGUACAGAGUUGUCUCAAUCUUGUACAACAUUCCAAACAAAAAUAUCGCUCCUCUCUUAAUCGAAGAAAUAGUUUUGUUGACGCAUUUGGCCAAAAAGAUUGUUGAAAUUUAGAGGACGCACAUUUAGAACAACGAUGUAUGUUCGUUACCCAUCUCUCCAAUCUGAGGCGAGAAAUAGUCCCCAAGGAAAUUUCGUCCUCAUUGGUUUUACAUAUGAUUGCCCUCUGACGUGUUUUAAAGCAUGACAAGGUUUUUGUUGGAGAGUAAUUUCAAACUUUUGAAGCUCUGAUACUAAGCAUGGUUUUUUCCUUUCACUCAGUCUUCGCGGAUCUCACCAUUGUAACAAAUGAAAAACUUGAAUCUUGAGGGACACAUUGAAAGUUUAUUUGAAGGUUGCGUGGUUUUUAAGGAUCUUGAAACCAUCGCCCCGGCUUUAAUCUCGGGCCUGUAUUUGCAUGUAUGGAUGUACGUACGAGUGUGAAGUAAAUGGAGGCGGUGGCCAUAGAUUUGGAUUAAGUAUUUGGUCAAAGGCCAAAACUUCCAGUUGUUGUUUUUCUUGCGAUCAAAGCGAAAGGAACAAGCUUGGUAAAAUAAUUAUGUCUGAAAGUAGCCCCGAUUAAGUUAGUAUACGAGAUCACAUUUGUUUUAAGGGAUAUAUUUUAAAGAUAUUUUAGAUAAUUCGCACUAUUUUUUGCUUUUACUGAAUGUUUCCAACAAGUCUAGUUUUUUUUCAUUCAACUCUUGACAGUUGCUUUAAGAUAUCAAUAGAGCAUUUUGUGGCCAAAUUUGUAGCAAAAUGCUAGUUUUGAUUGCAACAUUGAACCAUCUGAGCAAUAGCUCCUGAUGAAAU